GACGAACGCUGGCGGCGUGCCUAAUACAUGCAAGUCGAGCGGAGUUCGUUGGAAAGCUUGCUUUCGAACGAACUUAGCGGCGGACGGGUGAGUAACACGUAGGCAACCUGCCUGUAAGACCGGGAUAACUCACGGAAACGUGUGCUAAUACCGGAUAAGCGGAGGUCUCGCAUGGGACCUUCGAGAAAGACGGAGCAAUCUGUCACUUACAGAUGGGCCUGCGGCGCAUUAGCUAGUUGGUGAGGUAACGGCUCACCAAGGCGACGAUGCGUAGCCGACCUGAGAGGGUGAUCGGCCACACUGGGACUGAGACACGGCCCAGACUCCUACGGGAGGCAGCAGUAGGGAAUCUUCCGCAAUGGACGAAAGUCUGACGGAGCAACGCCGCGUGAGUGAUGAAGGUUUUCGGAUCGUAAAGCUCUGUUGCCAGGGAAGAACGCCAUCUAGUUAACUGCUGGGUGG
RNAcentral lists this ribosomal RNA (462 nucleotides) under uncultured bacterium. RNAcentral's name for it is "bacterial SSU rRNA". It matches the Rfam family "Bacterial small subunit ribosomal RNA", at positions 28 to 472 of the family's 1533-position model. The record is from RNAcentral.